AAUCCAUAGGUUAAUGAGGCGAACCGGGGGAACUGAAACAUCUAAGUACCCCGAGGAAAAGAAAUCAACCGAGAUUCCCCCAGUAGCGGCGAGCGAACGGGGAGGAGCCCAGAGCCUGAAUCAGCAUGUGUGUUAGUGGAAGCGUCUGGAAAGGCGCGCGAUACAGGGUGACAGCCCCGUACACAAAAGCGCAUGUGCUGUGAGCUCGAUGAGUAGGGCGGGACACGUGGUAUCCUGUCUGAAUAUGGGGGGACCAUCCUCCAAGGCUAAAUACUCCUGACUGACCGAUAGUGAACCAGUACCGUGAGGGAAAGGCGAAAAGAACCCCGGCGAGGGGAGUGAAAAAGAACCUGAAACCGUGUACGUACAAGCAGUGGGAGCCUCUUUUAUGGGGUGACUGCGUACCUUUUGUAUAAUGGGUCAGCGACUUAUAUUCUGUAGCAAGGUUAACCGUAUAGGGGAGCCGGAGGGAAACCGAGUCUUAACCGGGCGUUAAGUUGCAGGGUAUAGACCCGAAACCCGGUGAUCUAGCCAUGGGCAGGUUGAAGGUUGGGUAACACUAACUGGAGGACCGAACCGACUAAUGUUGAAAAAUUAGCGGAUGACCUGUGGCUGGGGGUGAAAGGCCAAUCAAACCGGGAGAUAGCUGGUUCUCCCCGAAAGCUAUUUAGGUAGCGCCUCGUGAAUUCAUCUCCGGGGGUAGAGCACUGUUUCGGCUAGGGGGCCAUCCCGGCUUACCAACCCGAUGCAAACUGCGAAUACCGGAGAAUGUUAUCACGGGAGACACACGGCGGGUGCUAACGUCCGUCGUGAAGAGGGAAACAACCCAGACCGCCAGCUAAGGUCCCAAAGUCAUGGUUAAGUGGGAAACGAUGUGGGAAGGCCCAGACAGCCAGGAUGUUGGCUUAGAAGCAGCCAUCAUUUAAAGAAAGCGUAAUAGCUCACUGGUCGAGUCGGCCUGCGCGGAAGAUGUAACGGGGCUAAACCAU
Molecule: ribosomal RNA, 989 nt
Filed under: Salmonella enterica
Lineage: Bacteria; Pseudomonadati; Pseudomonadota; Gammaproteobacteria; Enterobacterales; Enterobacteriaceae
Also listed under: 2 other names
Description: partial 23S ribosomal RNA
Rfam family: Bacterial large subunit ribosomal RNA
Source: RNAcentral